This 292-nucleotide ribosomal RNA is filed under the name uncultured bacterium. RNAcentral's name for it is "partial 16S ribosomal RNA". It matches the Rfam family "Bacterial small subunit ribosomal RNA", at positions 505 to 796 of the family's 1533-position model. The record is from RNAcentral.
GUGUCAGCCGCCGCGGUAAUACGGAGGAUGCAAGCGUUAUCCGGAUUUAUUGGGUUUAAAGGGUGCGCAGGUGGUUUUAUAAGUCAGUGGUGAAAGUCUGUCGCUUAACGUCAGGAUUGCCAUUGAUACUGUAGGACUUGAGUAUGGAUGAGGUAGGCGGAAUGUGUAGUGUAGCGGUGAAAUGCAUAGAUAUUACACAGAACGCCGAUUGCGAAGGCAGCUUACUAAUCCGCUACUGACACUGAGGCACGAAAGCGUGGGGAUCAAACAGGAUUAGAUACCCCAGUAGUCC